AUGGCUCAGGAUGAACGCUGGCGGCGUGCUUAACACAUGCAAGUCGAACGAGGGUUACCGGUUGAAAUUUCGAAUGGAAACGGGUAAUUCCUAGUGGCGGACGGGUGAGUAACGCGUGGGGAACCUGCCCCAUUCCGGGGGAUACCAGUUGGAAACGACUGUUAAUACCGCAUAAGCGCACAGUACUGCAUGGUACGGUGUGAAAAAACCACGGUGGAAUGGGAUGGCCCCGCGUCUGAUUAGCCAGUUGGCAGGGUAACGGCCUACCAAAGCGACGAUCAGUAGCCGGCCUGAGAGGGCGACCGGCCACAUUGGGACUGAGACACGGCCCAAACUCCUACGGGAGGCAGCAGUGGGGAAUAUUGCACAAUGGGGGGAACCCUGAUGCAGCCGACGCCGCGUGAGUGAAGAAGUAUUUCGGUAUGUAAAGCUCUAUCAGCAGGGAAGAAGAUGACGGUACCUGCACAAGAAGCCCCGGCUAACUACGUGCCAGCAGCCGC
Molecule: ribosomal RNA, 500 nt
Filed under: uncultured bacterium
Lineage: Bacteria
Description: bacterial SSU rRNA
Rfam family: Bacterial small subunit ribosomal RNA
Source: RNAcentral